UACGUAGGGUGCGAGCGUUAAUCGGACUUACUGGGCGUAACGCGUGCGUAGGCGGUUCGUUAAGUUCGUUGUGAAAGCCCCGGGCUCAACCUGGGAAUGGCAAUGGAAACUGGCGGGCUGGAGUAUGGCAGAGGGGGGUGGAAUUCCGCGUGUAGCAGUGAAAUGCGUAGAGAUGCGGAGGAACACCGAUGGCGAAGGCAGCCCCCUGGGCUGAGAUUGACGCUCAGGCACGAAAGCGUGGGGAGCAAACAGG
RNAcentral lists this ribosomal RNA (253 nucleotides) under uncultured bacterium. RNAcentral describes it as "partial 16S ribosomal RNA". It matches the Rfam family "Bacterial small subunit ribosomal RNA", at positions 524 to 776 of the family's 1533-position model. The record is from RNAcentral.